GACGAACGCUGGCGGCGUGCUUAACACGUGCAAGUCGAACGGAAAGGCCCUGCUUUUGUGGGGUGCUCGAGUGGCGAACGGGUGAGUAACACGUGAGUAACCUGCCCUUGACUUUGGGAUAACUUCAGGAAACUGGGGCUAAUACCGGAUAGGAGCUCCUGCUGCAUGGUGGGGGUUGGAAAGUUUCGGCGGUUGGGGAUGGACUCGCGGCUUAUCAGCUUGUUGGUGGGGUAGUGGCUUACCAAGGCUUUGACGGGUAGCCGGCCUGAGAGGGUGACCGGCCACAUUGGGACUGAGAUACGGCCCAGACUCCUACGGGAGGCAGCAGUGGGGAAUAUUGCACAAUGGGCGGAAGCCUGAUGCAGCAGCGCCGCGUGCGGGAUGACGGCCUUCGGGUUGUAAACCGCUUUCGCCUGUGACGAAGCGUGAGUGACGGUAAUGGGUAAAGAAGCACCGGCUAACUACGUG
This 468-nucleotide ribosomal RNA is filed under the name uncultured bacterium. RNAcentral describes it as "partial 16S ribosomal RNA". It matches the Rfam family "Bacterial small subunit ribosomal RNA", at positions 28 to 507 of the family's 1533-position model. The record is from RNAcentral.